Non-coding RNA from Cicer arietinum (chickpea), 175 nucleotides. The record is from RefSeq and is a predicted model, not a curated record. NCBI's taxonomy places the organism in Eukaryota, Viridiplantae, Streptophyta, Magnoliopsida, Fabales, Fabaceae.
AUUUACAUUGAUACUCGCACUCGUAAAGAUGGAACAACUGUCAAUGAAAAGGCUGCAAGAUUGAUUGUUCCUGAUGCUACUAGUGCUCAAAACCAUUUGAAUUCACUUAGUCCAAACAACAACGAAAAUAAUGAAAAUGGUGAAGAUUAAAAGCUAAUUUGUUGUUGAAGAUGGC